GACGAACGCUGGCGGCGUGCUUAACACAUGCAAGUCGAACGGAAAGGCCCUGCUUUUGUGGGGUGCUCGAGUGGCGAACGGGUGAGUAACACGUGAGUAACCUGCCCUUGACUUUGGGAUAACUUCAGGAAACUGGGGCUAAUACCGGAUAGGAGCUCCUGCUGCAUGGUGGGGGUUGGAAAGUUUCGGCGGUUGGGGAUGGACUCGCGGCUUAUCAGCUUGUUGGUUGGGUAGUGGCUUACCAAGGCUUUGACGGGUAGCCGGCCUGAGAGGGUGACCGGCCACCUUGGGACUAAGAUACGGACCAGACUCCUACGGGAGGCAGCAGUGGGGAAUAUUGCACAAUGGGCGGAAGCCUGAUGCAGCAACGCCGCGUGCGGGAUGACGGCCUUCGGGUUGUAAACCGCUUUCGCCUGUGACGAAGCGUGAGUGACGGUAAUGGGUAAAGAAGCACCGGCUAACUACGUG
RNAcentral lists this ribosomal RNA (468 nucleotides) under uncultured bacterium. Its description in RNAcentral is "partial 16S ribosomal RNA". It matches the Rfam family "Bacterial small subunit ribosomal RNA", at positions 28 to 507 of the family's 1533-position model. The record is from RNAcentral.